Molecule: ribosomal RNA, 512 nt
Filed under: uncultured bacterium
Lineage: Bacteria
Description: bacterial SSU rRNA
Rfam family: Bacterial small subunit ribosomal RNA
Source: RNAcentral
GACGAACGCUGGCGGCGUGCUUAACACAUGCAAGUGGAGCGACGAAGCGGGCUUCGGCCCGUGGCAGAGCCGCGAACGGGUGAGUAACACGUGGGUAACCCACCCCGAUGACCGGGACAACCCGAGGAAACUCGGGCUAAUACCGGAUGUUCUCUCUUCUCGUAAGGGAAGCGAGCAAAGAUAGCUUAGGCCUUCGCAUCGGGACGGGCCCGCGGCCCAUUAGCUUGUUGGUGGGGUAACGGCCUACCAAGGCGACGAUGGGUAGCUGGUCUGAGAGGACGAUCAGCCACACUGGGACUGAGACACGGCCCAGACUCCUACGGGAGGCAGCAGUGGGGAAUCUUGCGCAAUGCGCGAAAGCGUGACGCAGCAACGCCGCGUGGGGGAAGAAGGCCUUCGGGUUGUAAACCCCUUUCAGGAGGGACGAAGCCAGGGCGGUGAAUAGCCGACCCUGGUGACGGUACCUCCAGAAGAAGCCCCGGCUAACUACGUGCCAGCAGCCGCAGUAAAAC